GCGGAAGUGGUGGAAUCGGUAGACACGCUAUCUUGAGGGUGUAGUGGAGCAAUCCGUGCGGGUUCAAAUCCCGCCUUCCGCA
This 82-nucleotide transfer RNA is filed under the name Candidatus Zixiibacteriota bacterium. RNAcentral's name for it is "candidate division Zixibacteria bacterium tRNA-Leu". It matches the Rfam family "tRNA". Rfam says of the family: Transfer RNA (tRNA) molecules are approximately 80 nucleotides in length. Lineage: Bacteria; Pseudomonadati; Candidatus Zixiibacteriota. The record is from RNAcentral.